Molecule: long non-coding RNA, 2567 nt
Filed under: Homo sapiens (human)
Lineage: Eukaryota; Metazoa; Chordata; Mammalia; Primates; Hominidae
Description: HSALNT0338236
Source: RNAcentral
CUCCAUACAGGCCCCAUCUCCAAAUACGGUCACGCUGGGAUUUGCCCAACAUAAUGAAUUGGAGGGGAGCGGUGGGGCACGAUUCAGUCCACUGCACACCGUUCUCCUCUCCAGACCUCUCACUGGCAAGUCCUUUCAUCUCAAUUUCAGUUCUGUGAGGCCGUCCUACUAUUGUCUAUCACCCUGUUUGAUUUUUUUGUAGCCUCAUCAUUUAUUCAUUACAGUUUCUUAAGUUCUUUUUUUUAGGGAGCUUGUCAUUGCCUAGAAGAGUGCUGGGCACACAAUAGUGAUACUGAAUAUACAACUAAAAUCAUGUAAUAUAGCACAUGAGAUUCUUAAUGCUAAAAUUAAGACUUUUUAACAUGAAAAAUGCUCUUAAGGGCAGAAAUGAAGCAAAUUUCAGGCAAGAUGGCAGACAAGACUGAAACGGAUUCAUCCAUCAACUGCUACAGACUUAAAAAACAAAAUAUGCCCAAUGCAAAGCUGAGCUCAGGAAAUCCUCAGAUGCUAGAGAUAAAGACAAAAUCCAGUUGCAGAAGUGAGUUCCAGGUGAUGCCAGGAGACCCCAGGAAGUAUCAGAUUAGGUCACAAAACUAGGAAUAAGGUUUUAAUGUCUUCAGAAAAACAGAGCAUUUGGUGAGAGAAGGGAACUAAUCCGAGACUCCCGCAUACAACCAGGACACUUGAAGGGCUGCCUCACCUGUGAAAAAGAAACUGGAAAAAUCUCUUCAAAUCUGUCUGUGGAAACAGAAAGACAGCCUGGUGUUUGACAAAGCUCUCGGUGGGACAAACCUCCUCUGAGAAAUGGAAACCUAGGAAAUCAAAAGCCCAGAAAUUAAGGGAAAGCAUUAGUCUCAGAUAAUGAAAAGGAAACCCUUGGGGCCCGGGCCAAAGCAAAUGUAAAAACAUGAACACUUGCAUAAUCUCGUACAUGGGACUCACAGAAAAUGCAACCCCUAAUAUAGAUGAGCUCGCAAUGAAAAAUUAUCCACCACUGUGGCAAUGCAGUCACCAAAAGGAAGACUCAACAGACCAAUGAGCAUAGACACGAGCUGUGGAGGUAACAACUGGAAACAGAAGAAUAAAAUCUCAAGAUAAAUAAUUUAAAAAUACUUAACAUGGAAAAAUAUUUCACUUAAAAAAUAUAACUUUUAGAAAAAAUAUAGUAUCAUUAACUUAAAAAUUCAGUAGCUAGGUUGAACAAUAAAUUCACCACAAAUGAAAAGAGAAUUAGAGAUCUGGAUCACGGAGCUGGAAGAUGAAUGCAGAGGCAGCACAGGGAGGUAAAGCAAUGGAAAAGAUCGCAGGGAGUCCCAAGACCCGGGAUGCUCCCUCGAGUCACUCACAGGAGCUCCAGAGGAAAGGACAGAUCAUGGGGAAAGGCAAUAUUUGAAGCAACAAUGACUGGGAAUUUUUCAUAAUUAAGAAAGAUGUAAAUAUUCAGAGGGAAAAUGCAGAUCUAGACACUUUUCAGAAACACUAUGAAACUCCAAAGUCAAGGAAAAGAUUAAAAGCAACUAGAAACAAAAGACAGUUUACAAUAAAAGAUCCAAAUUAGAUGGAAAUUACAUGUCUCAUUAAUAAAAUAGAGGUCAGAGAAAAGGGUAAAAAAUGUUCAACAUGCUCAAAGAACAAAAGUUAUUCAUCUACAAUACAACUUAGUAAAAUUAUCAUUCAAAAAUAAAGACAAAUCAAAUGUAUUUGACUAAGACUGAAGGGUAUUUUUUUAACCCCUGGAUCAUCAACUUUACCAAAGGAUAAAAUUUAUUAAAAAUAUGAUCAGCUUGUCGAAAGAAUGAAUCAAUGACACUCUGUCUUCGUGGAGAGCAGCCUGGGUGUGGAAUCAGGCACCCCCGGGUUCAAAGCCAUCACUGGCGAACUCACAAAGAGUGGGACUCACCGACCUGAGGGUUUGCCAGCACACUCGUAGCCCGCGGGACUAGAGUAUUUGUGAGAGAGGAGUGUGGUCUUUUGAUUGAAGAACAGAAGUCAUUCGUGAAGGACACAGCACACACAGCCCAGAGAGCUCGCAGGUUAAAACUGCACAUGGAGCAAUGUCUGCCAGCCAUUCAGGGUACUUCAAAAUAGCAAACACAGUAUUCACAAUCAAGUUAUUUAGACCUUUUAGAUUGUAUACAAAUGACAUAGAAAAAUGUACAGCCAGUCCACUGGGUUGUAAUUUUAGAAACAAACAUCUCAAGUCAUAAUAAUAAAGUAGAGUUUUAAAAAGUUACUAGGUUUUCUUUAUUUGCCAUAAGAAAGACUGAACUUCUUAGUAUGUAGUUUGAAGAGUAUUUUCUUUAACUCAUUGAAGCCUACAGAGAAAAUUCAAAUCCACAGAGAAUAAGAGGGUCAUUCUCCAGAUUCUCAUUAGACAAUUUGUGGAAAUGGUGUCUCUCUUCUCACAGUGAACCCUGACUCCUCCAUGACUGCUGGAGAAGACCAAGCAUCGCUAUUUAGGAUGCUCUUUUUUCUGCUCUUUCCAGCUCUAAAUUUCUAGCAUCACCAAUUCCCCUUGCUCCUGGCUCUCUGGACUUUGUGCCCUGCUGCCCUUUGUUGUGAUCUUC